This is a non-coding RNA of Homo sapiens (human), 148 nucleotides long. It matches the Rfam family "Metazoan signal recognition particle RNA". Rfam says of the family: The signal recognition particle (SRP) is a universally conserved ribonucleoprotein. It is involved in the co-translational targeting of proteins to membranes. Lineage: Eukaryota; Metazoa; Chordata; Mammalia; Primates; Hominidae. The record is from Rfam.
ACUGGGCAUGGUGGCACAUGCCUGUAGUCCCAGUUACUUGGGAGGCCGAGAUGGGAGGAUAGCUUGAGCCCAGGAAGUUGAGGCUGCAGUGAGCCUGGACUGCACCACUGCACUCCAGCCUGGGUGACAGAGCAAGAUCCUAUCUUUU